Long non-coding RNA from Nycticebus coucang (slow loris), 314 nucleotides. RefSeq lists it as uncharacterized. The record is from RefSeq and is a predicted model, not a curated record. The transcript has 3 exons. NCBI's taxonomy places the organism in Eukaryota, Metazoa, Chordata, Mammalia, Primates, Lorisidae.
CACAGCACUUCCGCUUCCUGUUCGCAGCGUCGACUAUUAGGCUAGGGUCCGGCGCUUGAGCUGGAGGUUGUGGCGUCUGCAGGUUCGAGGCGUUUGGAGCUCCAGCCAGGAUGAUCGAGGUUGUUUGCAACGACCGUUUGGGGAAGAAGGUCCGCGUUAAAUGCAAAUGAAAUCCAUGAUGGGAUGAACCUGGAGCUUUAUUACCAAUAGAGCAGAAUUCCUUCCCCUGCCCUACUUUGCUUUCCUCCCACACUGUCCACACUGGUAUGGAUGCUUGUUUUUAAAAACUCACCUUAAUAAAAACUUAGAUAUUG